GACACAGCAUUCACUUUCAGUAAGUCUAGAAGUAUUAGAGUAAUAAUAGGGUACUAAUAAAAUUCAAAUUUUAUCAUGGAAUGUCUAGGGACAGAUGUGAAAAGAGGAUUAGCAUUAUUCCCUUGUUUCUUCCUGCAUAAAAGGGGAAGGCAGUGCCACCUGCUAAAUACUGUGAGUAAUGAAUUACAGCUGUGACUCCAGGGGCAGUUGUGUCAACUGAGCUUUUCGUCCAUGCUGGUGACCUUUGUUUCCUUACUGAUCAUAGACUGACAGGGGUGAAUUACUGUCCUUACGUCCCCUCAGAUUAGGGGUCUUGUCCUCUUUGUCUCUGUAGCCUAAGAGUUCAAAGGUUUAGCAAGCAACAGUUGCUUACCUGCCUGUGGUGUGAGAGAUUGAGAGUUCCUGCCUUCCUUUCUCCUGCACCUUCUGGCCUGAGUAACUCAGUGUCUUGACACCAAAACGACUCAGGUAUGGCCUCCUUUUCUCUUUGUUUAGUUGUCUGUUUUGAUGCCAAGAUAAACUUUGAUGACAAUGCUGAAUUCCGACAAAAGGACAUAUUUGCUAUGGACGACAAGUCAGAGAAUGAACCCAUUGAAAAUGAAGCUGCCAGAUAUGAUCUCAAAUAUAUAGGUCUAGACGGGAACAUCGCCUGCUUUGUGAAUGGUGCUGGAUUGGCCAUGGCUACUUGUGACAUCAUUUUCCUGAAUGGAGGGAAGCCAGCUAACUUCUUGGACCUCGGAGGUGGUGUAAAGGAGUCCCAAGUCUAUCAAGCAUUCAAACUGCUCACAUCUGAUCCCAAG
Molecule: long non-coding RNA, 800 nt
Filed under: Rattus norvegicus (Norway rat)
Lineage: Eukaryota; Metazoa; Chordata; Mammalia; Rodentia; Muridae
Description: long non-coding RNA NONRATT021650
Source: RNAcentral